AGGAUAAUAGUUAAAGAUAAUAUUUGAUUUGCAUUCAAAAGAUGUUGAAUGAUUCAACUUAUCUU
This 65-nucleotide transfer RNA is filed under the name Odontocheila batesii. RNAcentral's name for it is "tRNA-Ala". It matches the Rfam family "tRNA". From Rfam's summary of the family: Transfer RNA (tRNA) molecules are approximately 80 nucleotides in length. Their secondary structure includes four short double-helical elements and three loops (D, anti-codon, and T loops). Lineage: Eukaryota; Metazoa; Arthropoda; Insecta; Coleoptera; Carabidae. The record is from RNAcentral.